ACUCGUGCUCGAAGGCAGGCAGGACCAGCUGGUGGCGUUUGAAGCGGCUCUGCUCCAUGCGGGGCCUGGAACCACGUGUUCCUAUUCCAACCCUGAGCUGAGGAACCCACAGGCCAGGUUAGGACGUGUCACAUGCCUGCCCACAGGGCCAGGAAAGCUGAGGCUCCCAGAGAUUAAAGUCACACAGCUGGGCGUCAGGGAUACAGAGUUGACAGCAUCGCAGCUGGCUCCCCACCACCUUGCCUACCUG
Molecule: long non-coding RNA, 250 nt
Organism: Propithecus coquereli (Coquerel's sifaka)
Lineage: Eukaryota; Metazoa; Chordata; Mammalia; Primates; Indriidae
Exons: 3
Source: RefSeq, a predicted model, not a curated record